RNAcentral lists this long non-coding RNA (373 nucleotides) under Equus caballus (horse). RNAcentral's name for it is "lncRNA (ENSECAG00000052676.1)". Lineage: Eukaryota; Metazoa; Chordata; Mammalia; Perissodactyla; Equidae. The record is from RNAcentral.
CACAGCUUUUAUCUCACUUCUUGAGACGCGUCCAUGCUGCCACACUCUCGCCCGUGGCUUCCAGAGGAGUGAGGACGGAGGGAAAGGAGAGGACCCACGCUCGAUGGAUCUUUUCCUUUUCUCCUGUCGUCAUUCAGUCCCCGACAGCGUGGGAGGAAGGCGACAUCACCCACUUGGCGGAGGAGGAAACUGAGGCCAGAGGCUGGAAGGGACUCACAAAGGCCACCAACGAGGGACAGGCCGAUGGACGCAGCCCUGGACUGCGGGUCGGCAGUGAGGGGACAGGCCGCGGUCACCAAGUCUCACUGCUCCAUCUGCUGCCUCCUGAUGGGAUCUGUCGCCUCUCCUCCAGGCCCCAUCGGCUCUCCCGAGA